GCUCCGCAGGGGGCAGCUUUAUACGACCGCAGAGGUCGAACCCUGAACGGUUGGGGCUAGUAUGGACACAACAUUCAAACUGAAUACAGCUCUGAAUUUGGAUUGUGAUUAAAUAGUUGACACAGCAUAGGUUUCUGACACAGAAUGAAUGUGGUCUAAUGAAUUUAAAAUGUUUUUUUUUUUUGCUUUUGAGCAAUUCACUAUGCUGUUGAAUAUUAAUCCUUUGAUAUUUGAAGAAAUUUUCUUUUUCAUUUUUGAAAUCUGAAAUAAGAAAAAUUGAACCCCACCAAUUUUUUUUCACCUCCCCCUUUCCCUUAUUCCAAAAAUGAUCUCAAUUCAAAUUUCUAAUGGAGUUUUCAACAAUAACUACUCAUUUAAAUACAUCAUAAAAUAUAAAAUGUCAUACAGUCAUGAUUUAAGUUGAUUUAACUACUAUUCUGGACAAAGAAAGAUAACUCCAAUGCAACAUUUUAUAUUGGCAAAUUUCCAAUGAAGUUCAUUAAACUAAAGUUUUUGGCAAAUUUCCAAUGGAAUUUAUUAAUAACAAAGUUUUUGGCAAAUUUCCAAUAUACAUAAUUUAAGAGCAGUUUAGGUGAGCUAUUAAAAUGAGUUUCAAUUACCAAUCUUACACUGCUUU
Molecule: long non-coding RNA, 637 nt
Filed under: Mytilus galloprovincialis (Mediterranean mussel)
Lineage: Eukaryota; Metazoa; Mollusca; Bivalvia; Mytilida; Mytilidae
Source: RNAcentral